This 362-nucleotide ribosomal RNA is filed under the name Microbacterium sp. Its description in RNAcentral is "bacterial SSU rRNA". It matches the Rfam family "Bacterial small subunit ribosomal RNA", at positions 89 to 451 of the family's 1533-position model. Lineage: Bacteria; Bacillati; Actinomycetota; Actinomycetes; Micrococcales; Microbacteriaceae. The record is from RNAcentral.
GGAUUAGUGGCGAACGGGUGAGUAACACGUGAGCAACCUGCCCCUGACUCUGGGAUAAGCGCUGGAAACGGCGUCUAAUACUGGAUAUGUCCUGCCACCGCAUGGUGUGUGGGUGGAAAGAUUUUUCGGUUGGGGAUGGGCUCGCGGCCUAUCAGCUUGUUGGUGAGGUAAUGGCUCACCAAGGCGUCGACGGGUAGCCGGCCUGAGAGGGUGACCGGCCACACUGGGACUGAGACACGGCCCAGACUCCUACGGGAGGCAGCAGUGGGGAAUAUUGCACAAUGGGCGCAAGCCUGAUGCAGCAACGCCGCGUGAGGGAUGACGGCCUUCGGGUUGUAAACCUCUUUUAUCAGGGAAGAAGC